Long non-coding RNA from Peromyscus eremicus (cactus mouse), 626 nucleotides. RefSeq lists it as uncharacterized. The record is from RefSeq and is a predicted model, not a curated record. Lineage: Eukaryota; Metazoa; Chordata; Mammalia; Rodentia; Cricetidae. The transcript has 2 exons.
GGAUUUAACAUUUUGUCUCAUCACUUUAUCUUAUUUUAUGUAGGUGAGACAAACAUCUGGUACCCAGAUCUUCAUCCAUUUUUCAUGUCUUGCUAGCCCCUUCAGGGACCAUUCUCAGGCACUGGGCUAAGGACAAGGGAGAGCCAGCUGCCCUGAACAUCACAUGGCACAGGGAGCACUCCAGUUCUGGAACAUGCACUGCUCAGCCACUCUAGUAGAAUAAAACCAGAGGCUUUGAAGUUCCAUCCCAGUUAUGACCCAGCACUUUGGCAUAUUCUGGAGAAUACAGGACAAGCCAAGGAACACUCAGCUGAGCCUGUGUUGAUUCAUCCCCAGAGCUAAAGAGUUCCCAUCCAAACUCAGAGUCUGGAUUCUGGAGUUGUAGAGAUUCCCAAGAGGCUCCUUGGGGCAACUGAAAGCUAGGACAAUCACUGUGGCUUUAUCCCCUUUCCACCACCAAACAAUGUUCCUGAAGCUGUAUAGGAAGUGGGGACACCAGAUAAGACACAGCAAGCAGAAUCUGUCCACUGAGAUUUCAGUGCAAUAAAUCUCAAGCAAGUUCAAAGCUCCCACUGCUUCAGAAAUGGCUUGUUAGGCAGGGAGAAUAAAAGUCUCUGUGCUGGCUA